ACAGCGAGAAAUUUCAAAAUAUCGAUUAUUACUUCCUUGUCGAUCAGGCUUCUUAUAGUUCGAAUGCUUUCAGCAGCAGCGUUUUUAUUUAAGACUGUCUUUAUAUUACAUUACACGAUUAUUUGUUCGCUAAUAUCUACACACGAUGUGUCGUGUAUCAACGUUUACCGAGGACGGAAUGAAAAGGUUAUUAGAAUCUAACAUAUCCUAGAAUUGGUAAGAUUUAUGAAUGACUUGUGGAAUUGCCAUAGACUUUCUUCACAUAUGGAUUAUAUCUUAGCAACAAGGAGAAUUGGUAAUAUUUACCUAUGACUUGUGGAUUUGCUGUAAUCUUUCUUCACGCAUGGAUUAUUGUCUUUGAAACUAGGAGGUGCAAACAGAAUGAACUGUGGAUAACCUCUCACCUCAGUGAUAUUUACCACAUUGGAAUUACUUCAAGAAAAAAGAAGUUUAUACAAUAAUUUUCUUCUUUUUAAAAAAAAAUUCAAAAAUAUCAUAUCAGGAAUGAGCUGACAG
Long non-coding RNA from Octopus sinensis (East Asian common octopus), 516 nucleotides. RefSeq lists it as uncharacterized. The transcript has 6 exons. Lineage: Eukaryota; Metazoa; Mollusca; Cephalopoda; Octopoda; Octopodidae. The record is from RefSeq and is a predicted model, not a curated record.